RNAcentral lists this long non-coding RNA (199 nucleotides) under Trifolium pratense (red clover). RNAcentral describes it as "long non-coding RNA (TPRA_LNC005700)". Lineage: Eukaryota; Viridiplantae; Streptophyta; Magnoliopsida; Fabales; Fabaceae. The record is from RNAcentral.
UUUUUAAUUAUUCUACUACCCCCCCACCAAGAUAUAAAGCUCACUAACCAUUAAACUUGUCAGUUAUUACAUACAAAACACUCAAAAUGGAAAAUAUAAUAUGGGCUUCACAAAACGUGACUGGAAAGGCAGAUAAUGGAGGUGUAGGAGAGUUAAAACUAAGGCAGAUGAGAUUGGAAUGAUUAUUAAUGGUAAUUUC